Molecule: ribosomal RNA, 626 nt
Filed under: Ilybiosoma lugens
Lineage: Eukaryota; Metazoa; Arthropoda; Insecta; Coleoptera; Dytiscidae
Description: partial 16S ribosomal RNA
Rfam family: Bacterial large subunit ribosomal RNA
Source: RNAcentral
GUCCUUUUGAAUUUAAUUUAAGGUCUGACCUGCCCACUGAAUUUUUGAAGGGCCGCAGUAUUUUGACUGUGCAAAGGUAGCAUAAUCAUUAGUUUUUUAAUUAAAAGCUUGUAUGAAGGGUUGGACGAGGUAAAUUCUGUCUCUAUUUAAUUUAAUUUAGAAUUUAAUUUUUAAGUCAAAAAGCUUAAAUAUUAUUAAAAGACGAGAAGACCCUAUAGAUCUUUAUAUUAAAUUAAUUAAUUUUAUUUAAGAAUUAUUUAUUUUUUAAUAAAUUUAAUAUUUUAUUGGGGUAAUAAAAAGAUUAAUUUAAUUCUUUUUUUAUUUUUACAUUAAUAUAUGAUUAUACGAUCCAAUUUUAUUGAUUAAAAGAUUAAGUUACCUUAGGGAUAACAGCGUAAUUUUUUUAAAGAGUUCAUAUCGAUAAAAAAGUUUGCGACCUCGAUGUUGGAUUAAAAAUUAUCUUAGGUGCAGAAGUUUAAGAUUUUGGUCUGUUCGACCAUUAAAUUUUUACAUGAUCUGAGUUCAGACCGGCGUAAGCCAGGUCGGUUUCUAUCUUUAAUAAUUUAUAAUAUUUUAGUACGAAAGGACCAAAUAUUUAAUAUAUUUAUAUUUAUUUAUUUGAAUAU